This 1379-nucleotide ribosomal RNA is filed under the name Massilia sp. HKA5. RNAcentral's name for it is "16S ribosomal RNA". It matches the Rfam family "Bacterial small subunit ribosomal RNA". The record is from RNAcentral. Lineage: Bacteria; Pseudomonadati; Pseudomonadota; Betaproteobacteria; Burkholderiales; Oxalobacteraceae.
ACGGUAACAGGGAGCUUGCUCCGCUGACGAGUGGCGAACGGGUGAGUAAUAUAUCGGAACGUACCCAAGAGUGGGGGAUAACGUAGCGAAAGUUACGCUAAUACCGCAUACGAUCUAAGGAUGAAAGUGGGGGCUCGCAAGACCUCAUGCUCCUGGAGCGGCCGAUAUCUGAUUAGCUAGUUGGUGAGGUAAAGGCUCACCAAGGCAACGAUCAGUAGCUGGUCUGAGAGGACGACCAGCCACACUGGGACUGAGACACGGCCCAGACUCCUACGGGAGGCAGCAGUGGGGAAUUUUGGACAAUGGGGGCAACCCUGAUCCAGCAAUGCCGCGUGAGUGAAGAAGGCCUUCGGGUUGUAAAGCUCUUUUGUCAGGGAAGAAACGGUUUCGGCUAAUAUCCGGAGCUAAUGACGGUACCUGAAGAAUAAGCACCGGCUAACUACGUGCCAGCAGCCGCGGUAAUACGUAGGGUGCAAGCGUUAAUCGGAAUUACUGGGCGUAAAGCGUGCGCAGGCGGUUUUAUAAGUCUGUCGUGAAAUCCCCGGGCUUAACCUGGGAAUGGCGAUGGAGACUGUAAGGCUAGAGUUUGGCAGAGGGGGGUAGAAUUCCACGUGUAGCAGUGAAAUGCGUAGAGAUGUGGAGGAACACCGAUGGCGAAGGCAGCCCCCUGGGUCAAAACUGACGCUCAUGCACGAAAGCGUGGGGAGCAAACAGGAUUAGAUACCUGGUAGUCCACGCCCUAAACGAUGUCUACUAGUUGUCGGGUCUUAAUUGACUUGGUAACGCAGCUAACGCGUGAAGUAGACCGCCUGGGGAGUACGGUCGCAAGAUUAAAACUCAAAGGAAUUGACGGGGACCCGCACAAGCGGUGGAUGAUGUGGAUUAAUUCGAUGCAACGCGAAAAACCUUACCUACCCUUGACAUGGCAGAAACCUCCGAGAGAUUGGAGGGUGCUCGAAAGAGAAUCUGCACACAGGUGCUGCAUGGCUGUCGUCAGCUCGUGUCGUGAGAUGUUGGGUUAAGUCCCGCAACGAGCGCAACCCUUGUCAUUAGUUGCUACGAAAGAGCACUCUAAUGAGACUGCCGGUGACAAACCGGAGGAAGGUGGGGAUGACGUCAAGUCCUCAUGGCCCUUAUGGGUAGGGCUUCACACGUCAUACAAUGGUACAUACAGAGGGCCGCCAACCCGCGAGGGGGAGCUAAUCCCAGAAAGUGUAUCGUAGUCCGGAUUGUAGUCUGCAACUCGACUGCAUGAAGUUGGAAUCGCUAGUAAUCGCGGAUCAGCAUGUCGCGGUGAAUACGUUCCCGGGUCUUGUACACACCGCCCGUCACACCAUGGGAGCGGGUUUUACCAGAAGUAGGUAGCUUAACCGUAAGGA